Molecule: ribosomal RNA, 2881 nt
Filed under: Xanthomonas axonopodis pv. begoniae
Lineage: Bacteria; Pseudomonadati; Pseudomonadota; Gammaproteobacteria; Lysobacterales; Lysobacteraceae
Description: 23S ribosomal RNA
Rfam family: Bacterial large subunit ribosomal RNA
Source: RNAcentral
GGUCAAGCGAAUAAGCGCACACGGUGGAUGCCUAGGCGGUCAGAGGCGAUGAAGGACGUGGUAGCCUGCGAAAAGUGUCGGGGAGCUGGCAACAAGCUUUGAUCCGGCAAUAUCCGAAUGGGGAAACCCACUGCUUCGGCAGUAUCCUGCAGUGAAUUCAUAGCUGCUGGAAGCGAACCCGGUGAACUGAAAUAUCUAAGUAACCGGAGGAAAAGAAAUCAACCGAGAUUCCCUAAGUAGUGACGAGCGAACGGGGAGCAGCCCUUAAGCUGGAAUGGCUUUAGAAAAACAAUCUGGAAAGAUUGGCCAUAGAAGGUGAUAGCCCUGUAUUUAAAAGGGCCACUCCAGUGAAGACGAGUAGGGCGGGGCACGUGAAACCCUGUCUGAAUAUGGGGGGACCAUCCUCCAAGGCUAAAUACUCCUGACCGACCGAUAGUGAACCAGUACCGUGAGGGAAAGGCGAAAAGAACCCCGGAGAGGGGAGUGAAAUAGAUCCUGAAACCGUGUGCGUACAAGCAGUAGGAGCUCGCAAGAGUGACUGCGUACCUUUUGUAUAAUGGGUCAGCGACUUACUGUUCGUGGCAAGCUUAACCGUAUAGGGGAGGCGAAGGGAAACCGAGUCUGAUAAGGGCGCAUAGUCGCGGGCAGUAGACCCGAAACCGGGUGAUCUAGUCAUGGCCAGGGUGAAGGUGCCGUAACAGGUACUGGAGGCCCGAACCCACGUCUGUUGCAAAAGACGGGGAUGAGCUGUGAUUAGGAGUGAAAAGCUAAUCGAACCCGGAGAUAGCUGGUUCUCCUCGAAAGCUAUUUAGGUAGCGCCUCGGACGAAUACUACUGGGGGUAGAGCACUGUUAUGGCUAGGGGGUCAUCGCGACUUACCAAACCAUUGCAAACUCCGAAUACCAGUACGUACUAUCCGGGAGACACACGGCGGGUGCUAACGUCCGUCGUGAAAAGGGAAACAACCCAGACCCACAGCUAAGGUCCCAAAUUCACUGCUAAGUGGAAAACGAUGUGGAAAGGCAUAGACAGCCAGGAGGUUGGCUUAGAAGCAGCCACCCUUUAAAGAAAGCGUAAUAGCUCACUGGUCGAGUCGGUCUGCGCGGAAGAUUUAACGGGGCUAAGCAGUGAACCGAAGCUUGGGGUGCAUAAAACUUGUUUUAUGCGCGGUAGAGGAGCGUUCCGUAAGCCUGCGAAGGUGGAUUGAGAAGUCUGCUGGAGGUAUCGGAAGUGCGAAUGCUGACAUGAGUAACGAUAAUGCGGGUGAAAAGCCCGCACGCCGAAAGCCCAAGGUUUCCUUGCGCAACGUUAAUCGACGCAGGGUUAGUCGGUCCCUAAGGCGAGGGCGAAAGCCGUAGUCGAUGGGAAGCAGGUUAAUAUUCCUGCACCUCGCGUGAGUGCGAUGGAGGGACGGAGAAGGUUAGGUGUACCGGGCGUUGGUUGUCCCGGGGAAAGGCGGUAGGUUUGGAUCUUUGGCAAAUCCGGGAUCCUUUAAGACCGAGCACCGAGACGAGCCUUUAUGGCGAAGUCACUGAUACCACGCUUCCAGGAAAAGCUCCUAAGCUUCAGCUCACGAAGACCGUACCGUAAACCGACACAGGUGGGUAGGAUGAGAAUUCUCAGGCGCUUGAGAGAACUCGGGUGAAGGAACUAGGCAACAUGGCACCGUAACUUCGGGAGAAGGUGCACCCUUUUUGGUGGCUCGUGCGAGCUAUAGCUGAAGAGGGUCGCAGAAACCAGGCCGCUGCGACUGUUUAUCAAAAACACAGCACUCUGCAAACACGAAAGUGGACGUAUAGGGUGUGACGCCUGCCCGGUGCUGGAAGGUUAAUUGAUGGGGUCAGCCGCAAGGCGAAGCUCUUGAUCGAAGCCCCAGUAAACGGCGGCCGUAACUAUAACGGUCCUAAGGUAGCGAAAUUCCUUGUCGGGUAAGUUCCGACCUGCACGAAUGGCGUAACGACAGCGGCGCUGUCUCCACCCGAGACUCAGUGAAAUUGAAAUCGCUGUGAAGAUGCAGCGUUCCCGUGGCAAGACGGAAAGACCCCGUGAACCUUUACUAUAGCUUUACACUGAACGUUGAGUUCGUCUGUGUAGGAUAGGUGGGAGGCUAUGAAACUGUGGCGCUAGCUGCAGUGGAGCCAUCCUUGAAAUACCACCCUGUCGUGCUUGACGUUCUAACCUAGGUCCGUUAUCCGGAUCAGGGACCGUGUAUGGUGGGUAGUUUGACUGGGGCGGUCUCCUCCUAAAGAGUAACGGAGGAGCACGAAGGUACGCUCAGCGCGGUCGGACAUCGCGCACUGUGUGCAAAGGCAUAAGCGUGCUUGACUGCAAGAUCGACGGAUCAAGCAGGUACGAAAGUAGGUCUUAGUGAUCCGGUGGUUCUGUAUGGAAGGGCCAUCGCUCAACGGAUAAAAGGUACUCCGGGGAUAACAGGCUGAUACCGCCCAAGAGUUCAUAUCGACGGCGGUGUUUGGCACCUCGAUGUCGGCUCAUCACAUCCUGGGGCUGUAGUCGGUCCCAAGGGUAUGGCUGUUCGCCAUUUAAAGUGGUACGCGAGCUGGGUUCAGAACGUCGUGAGACAGUUCGGUCCCUAUCUGCCAUGGGCGUUGGAAGUUUGAGAGGGGCUGCUCCUAGUACGAGAGGACCGGAGUGGACGAACCUCUGGUGUUCCGGUUGUCACGCCAGUGGCAUUGCCGGGUAGCUAUGUUCGGAAGCGAUAACCGCUGAAAGCAUCUAAGCGGGAAGCGCGCCUCAAGAUGAGACUUCCCGGGGCACAAGCCCCCUAAAGGAACCAUGUAGACUACGUGGUUGAUAGGUCAGGUGUGUAAGUACAGCAAUGUAUUGAGCUAACUGAUACUAAUGAUCCGUGCGGCUUGACCAU